UUUGAUGAAGUGAAGUGAGGAAGAGGACAUCAUUUCAAAAGAUUAGACGGAGUCACAGAGACGAGAUAUCAAAUAUAUCACUAUAUU
Molecule: small RNA, 87 nt
Filed under: Arabidopsis thaliana (thale cress)
Lineage: Eukaryota; Viridiplantae; Streptophyta; Magnoliopsida; Brassicales; Brassicaceae
Description: ATSL053350
Source: RNAcentral